RNAcentral lists this ribosomal RNA (407 nucleotides) under uncultured bacterium. RNAcentral's name for it is "partial 16S ribosomal RNA". It matches the Rfam family "Bacterial small subunit ribosomal RNA", at positions 30 to 526 of the family's 1533-position model. The record is from RNAcentral.
AUUGAACGCUGGCGGCAGGCCUAACACAUGCAAGUCGAGCGGAGCGGCGGACGGGUGAGUGAUGCCUAUGAAUCUGCCUGGUGGUGGGGGAUAACGUCCGGUAACGGGCGCUAAUACCGCAUACUCUCAGAUGAGCAUAGGUCGGAUUAGGUAGUUGGUGGGGUAAAGGCCUACCAAGGCGACGAUCCGUAACUGGUCUGAGAGGAUGAUCAGCCACACUGGAACUGAGACACGGUCCAGACUCCUACGGGAGGCAGCAGUGGGGAAUAUUGGACAAUGGGCGAAAGCCUGAUCCAGCCAUGCCGCGUGUGUGAAGAAGGUCUUCGGAUUGUAAAGCACUUUAAGUUGGGAGGCGUUACCAACAGAAGAAGCACCGGCUAACUUCGUGCCAGCAGCCGCGGUAAUUC